Molecule: long non-coding RNA, 233 nt
Filed under: Elaeis guineensis (African oil palm)
Lineage: Eukaryota; Viridiplantae; Streptophyta; Magnoliopsida; Arecales; Arecaceae
Description: long non-coding RNA (EGUI_LNC028458)
Source: RNAcentral
UCCAACUUCAGGUUUGGCACUGGGUUCUUCUUUGGGAAUGGUGCACUCUAGAAUAAAAUCUGCCAAAGCCUGGGUUUUAAUAGAUGGCAUGGGGAGGUAUUUUAUGUCGAACUCCCCGAGUUCAACAAUCCACUUGGCCAGCUGACCUAAGGUCUCAAGUUGAUAGAGUAUUGAUCUGAUGGGCUGGUUGGUGAGGACGUUGAUCGUAUACGCUUGAAAAUAUGGGCACAACC